UACGUAGGGACCAAGCGUUGUUCGGAUUUACUGGGCGUAAAGGGCGCGUAGGCGGCGUGUUAAGUCAGCUGUGAAAUCUCCAAGCUUAACUUGGAACGGUCAGCUGAUACUGAUGUGCUAGAGUGCAGAAGGGGCAAUCGGAAUUCUUGGUGUAGCGGUGAAAUGCGUAGAUAUCAAGAGGAACACCGGUGGCGAAGGCGGGUCUCUGGGCCGAUACUGACGCUGAGGAGCGAAAGCGUGGGGAGCGAACAGG
This 253-nucleotide ribosomal RNA is filed under the name uncultured bacterium. RNAcentral describes it as "partial 16S ribosomal RNA". It matches the Rfam family "Bacterial small subunit ribosomal RNA", at positions 524 to 776 of the family's 1533-position model. The record is from RNAcentral.